UACGUAGGUGGCAAGCGUUAUCCGGAAUUAUUGGGCGUAAAGAGUGCGUAGGUGGUUACCUAAGCGCAAGGUUUAAUCUUGAGGCUCAACCUCAUUUUGCCUUGCGAACUGGGCUACUUGAGUGCAGGAGGGGAAAGCGGAAUUCCUAGUGUAGCGGUGAAAUGCGUAGAUAUUAGGAAGAACACCGGUGGCGAAGGCGGCUUUCUGGACUGUAACUGACACUGAGGCACGAAAGCGUGGGGAGCAAACAGGAUUAGAUACCCGCGUAGUCCCUGA
This 276-nucleotide ribosomal RNA is filed under the name uncultured prokaryote. RNAcentral describes it as "partial 16S ribosomal RNA". It matches the Rfam family "Bacterial small subunit ribosomal RNA", at positions 524 to 800 of the family's 1533-position model. The record is from RNAcentral.